RNAcentral lists this ribosomal RNA (429 nucleotides) under Actinomycetes bacterium. Its description in RNAcentral is "Actinobacteria bacterium partial 16S ribosomal RNA". It matches the Rfam family "Bacterial small subunit ribosomal RNA", at positions 355 to 776 of the family's 1533-position model. Lineage: Bacteria; Bacillati; Actinomycetota; Actinomycetes. The record is from RNAcentral.
UGGGGAAUUGUUCACAAUGGGCGCAAGCCUGAUGACGCAACGCCGCGUGGGGGAUGAAGGUCUUCGGAUUGUAAACCCCUGUCGAACGGGACGAAAGACCCGGGAGCUAAUCAUCCUGGGAGUGACGGUACCGUUAAAGGAAGCCACGGCUAACUCUGUGCCAGCAGCCGCGGUAAUACAGAGGUGGCAAGCGUUGUUCGGAAUUACUGGGCGUAAAGGGCGCGUAGGCGGCCUUCUAAGUCAGACGUGAAAUCCCCCGGCUUAACCUGGGAACUGCGUCUGAUACUGGGAGGCUUGAGUAUGGGAGAGGGAUGUAGAAUUCCAGGUGUAGCGGUGAAAUGCGUAGAUAUCUGGAGGAAUACCGGUGGCGAAGGCGGCAUCCUGGACCAUAACUGACGCUGAGGCGCGAAAGCUAGGGGAGCAAACGGG